Molecule: ribosomal RNA, 492 nt
Filed under: uncultured bacterium
Lineage: Bacteria
Description: partial 16S ribosomal RNA
Rfam family: Bacterial small subunit ribosomal RNA
Source: RNAcentral
AGUGAACGCUGGCGGUAGGCCUAACACAUGCAAGUCGAACGGCAGCACAGUAAGAGCUUGCUCUUACGGGUGGCGAGUGGCGGACGGGUGGGGAAUACAUCGGAAUCUACUUUUUCGUGGGGGAUAACGUAGGGAAAAUUACGCUAAUACCGCAUAAGACCUACGGGUGAAAGCAGGGGAUCUUCGGACCUUGCGCGAUUGAAUGAGCCGAUGUCGGAUUAGCUAGUUGGCGGGGUAAAGGCCCACCAAGGCGACGAUCCGUAGCUGGUCUGAGAGGAUGAUCAGCCACACUGGAACUGAGACACGGUCCAGACUCCUACGGGAGGCAGCAGUGGGGAAUAUUGGACAAUGGGCGCAAGCCUGAUCCAGCCAUACCGCGUGGGUGAAGAAGGCCUUCGGGUUGUAAAGCCCUUUUGUUGGGAAAGAAAAGCAGCAGGUUAAUACCCCGCUGUUCUGACGGUACCCAAAGAAUAAGCACCGGCUAACUUCGUG